Molecule: transfer RNA, 76 nt
Filed under: [Clostridium] innocuum
Lineage: Bacteria; Bacillati; Bacillota; Clostridia; Eubacteriales; Clostridiaceae
Description: tRNA-Arg
Rfam family: tRNA
About the family: Transfer RNA (tRNA) molecules are approximately 80 nucleotides in length. Their secondary structure includes four short double-helical elements and three loops (D, anti-codon, and T loops).
Source: RNAcentral
AUCCCUAUAGCUUAAUUGGAUAGAGUAUGAGAUUUCUAAUCUUACGAUGAGGGUUCGAUUCCUUCUGGGGAUACCA